ACCAGUGCUCCUACAAAGAAAGAAAAAGGAUAGAUUGGUGGGGGGCAGCUUCUCCAGCAAUGGAAAUGGGGAAAAGUAAACUAAUUGUGUGACGUGUAGACCACGACUGAUGUAACUUGUGGAUGUGUCCACACUUGUUCUUCAUGAAUAUACAUGGCCAUGGACAAGGUACGUAACUUGCUGGUUGUAUUAGGGUGUGAUCAAGGAAGUAUUUCUUCUUCAACUUUGCUACUGCUAUGUAUAUACAUACCUCAUUGUUGUCUUUUUCAUCAGACAAUAAACAGUAAGUCUUAGUUAAUCUUUAACGGAUUAUGAGAGUUAUAUUAUCAUGCACGACA
This is a long non-coding RNA of Populus nigra (black poplar), 338 nucleotides long. RefSeq lists it as uncharacterized. Lineage: Eukaryota; Viridiplantae; Streptophyta; Magnoliopsida; Malpighiales; Salicaceae. The record is from RefSeq and is a predicted model, not a curated record. The transcript is spliced from 3 exons.